UGGGCGCAAGCCUGAUCCAGCAAUGCCGCGUGCAGGAUGAAGGCCUUCGGGUUGUAAACUGCUUUUGUACGGAACGAAAAGCCCUGGGUUAAUACCCUGGGGUCAUGACGGUACCGUAAGAAUAAGCACCGGCUAACUACGUGCCAGCAGCCGCGGUAAUACGUAGGGUGCGAGCGUUAAUCGGAAUUACUGGGCGUAAAGCGUGCGCAGGCGGUUUUGUAAGACAGAGGUGAAAUCCCCGGGCUCAACCUGGGAACUGCCUUUGUGACUGCAAGGCUAGAGUACGGCAGAGGGGGAUGGAAUUCCGCGUGUAGCAGUGAAAUGCGUAGAUAUGCGGAGGAACACCGAUGGCGAAGGCAAUCCCCUGGGCCUGUACUGACGCUCAUGCACGAAAGCGUGGGGAGCAAACAGGAUUAGAUACCCUGGUAGUCCACGCCCUAAACGAUGUCAACUGGUUGUUGGGUCUUAACUGACUCAGUAACGAAGCUAACGCGUGAAGUUGACCGCCUGGGGAGUACGGC
RNAcentral lists this ribosomal RNA (521 nucleotides) under uncultured bacterium. Its description in RNAcentral is "bacterial SSU rRNA". It matches the Rfam family "Bacterial small subunit ribosomal RNA", at positions 372 to 886 of the family's 1533-position model. The record is from RNAcentral.